GGGGCGGUGCACAGCGCGGGCGCAGGCGCCGAGAGGCGCACGGGAGACCUCAGGCCCAGACUCCACUCCCCAGCUGUGAAAGGACUGCUGGCCAGACCCCCAAGCUAGCCCGCCAGGCCUCCAUAGAGCUGCCCAGCAUGGCUGCGUCCAGUACCAAGAGUUGGUGGGAGACGGGUGAAGUACAGGCUCAGUCUGCGGCCAAGACUCCAUCCUGCAAGCCAGAGCAACCUGGGAGGCUGAGCUGAAGAUGGAAGAGCCUGUCUGCGUGUCUCCCCAGUGACUAGUGAGGCGGCUUUUCCUCCCGAAGCUGGACCUUACAUCAGUGAGAAAUAAACUUCCAUUGUGCUAAGCCA
Homo sapiens (human) is the source of this 353-nucleotide long non-coding RNA. Ensembl annotates it as LSP1 pseudogene 5. Its record names the gene LSP1P5. Lineage: Eukaryota; Metazoa; Chordata; Mammalia; Primates; Hominidae. The record is from Ensembl.